CACAGGAUCCUUAACCCACUGAGCAAGACCAGGGAUGGAACCUGCAUCCUCCUGGAUACCAGUCCAGAUUUGUUUCCACUGAACCACGACAUGAACUCCAGAAAAGGCAUUUUUAACCAAGUACUCAGCAGCACAGCUCAUGUUCCAUCUUGGGUCAGAUGCUGUUUAUGGAACGGAAGUAUAAGACAAAGGAAGGGCACUGUCCCCAAGGAACUGGGUCUAUUAGGAAGACAAGUCUGAUGGAUCUAAGGCCAAGGACAAUGAAGGCUGGAAAAUGUGAAGCGCCUCCCCAAAGAAAAUCAAAUCAACACGACUGUCAUUCUGUCACCACAUGCCUGUAUUCCAUUCAUCUAAGCUCAGGGCUGAUUAAUUUCCUCCUGCACAAUGUGGGGCCCCUGCUUUAGAGGUGAGUGGCCUUUUCUAUCUCUUUGUUGUUCCUUUCCAGCCCCACGAAAAAAAACAGAAAAUAACUGUCAACAACAAUGCUUUCCCAGCAAGAUAAACCUCAGAGAUAUUUCUUUUCUCAGAGGGAAAAUGUAGGUCUUAAAAGUGCAAGGUGAGAUUUGCAGGACAGGGUGGGGUGGGGAGUUGGAAAGAAUUCAGUCCCAUCUGUAUCUUUAAAACCCACUCAUCAGUGAUGUUUAAGGUUUCUCUUAGGGUAACUUUGUUUAAAAUAGAAAUAGAAAGUAGAGGAGUUCCUCUGUGGCUUAGUGGGUUAAGGAUCCCGCAUUGUCACUGCUGCAGUGUAGGUUCGAUUACUGGCCUGGGAACUUCCGCAUGCUGAGGGUAUGGUCAAAAAAGAAAAAAAAAAAAGAGGAAGAAAUAGAAGGCAGAGACCCACUUCCUGCCACUUGUUACAAGCCACCCUUGGGCCUUCUUCCCAACUGGCCAGAGAUGACUCACAGCCCCACCACCACAUUGUUCACCUAUUCCUGGAGAAAAUUGAGCCAUGUUAGACCAAAGGUCUCUUGGGGCAGUGGUUGGGCUUCCAAAGGCUGAUAAUGGCCUUGGAUCUCUCCCAAAAGGCAUGGCUAGUGCUGAAUCAGCCACUCAGGAGUUGAACCUCAGGGAAGCCCCCAAGGUCUCCCAACCAGAGACAAGGAGUCAGCCCAUACAUACUCCAAGGUCCCCAAUUCCCGAUAGCCCAGAAGUCAGGGCCAACCAAGGUAACAGCAGAAAUCUUCACUGGAGACAGAUUCAGGGGCAAGGAUCUUGGUGGCAUUCAGCCCUUUUGAAAGAUAGAGUUUCCACCAGAACGAUUCCUAAGAAGCCCUCUCCACACAUCCGUUUCCUCCUUGCAGCAUUUGUUAAUCCUCCAGACAGAGAAGCUCUUGAAACCCUACCCCUGCAAGACCAGACAAGACCACAAGCAGUGAGAUUACUCAGCCUGAGUAGUCAGUGCUCCAGAGAGAGUAAAGGAAGUGAGGCCCUUGUCCUCCAUGUGCCCUCUCAAACUGGAGGCCCAUGAGGGACCCAGACCUCUGUCAUGACAAGACGUGCAGAGACCAAUGCGGCUGAGAUUCCAGACAGUGCAGAUGGCACAGGGGCUGAGAACUUGGGCUCUGUGUUUAAAUCCAGUUAUGCCAUGUCCUAGCUCAGCAAGUCUCAUAAUUUCUAUAAGCCUUGGUUUUGCCUUAGUUUCUUCUGUAAAAUGGGAAUGAUAGUGUCCAUCUCAUAGAACCAUUGAAAAGACUGAGUGAAAAGGGCACAUGUAAAGCACUUAGUUUAGGGCUUGAUGAAUAAUAACAAAAAUAGCAGCAGUUAUUACCCUUGCUCUUAGGAGGGCCCCUUACAGCCAAAUUCCUACUUUGCGGUUUCCCCAUUGGUGGUAAGGCUGUCCCUCAAGUACCCACUCGCCCCCACUCUGUGGCAUGUGAGUCUGUCUUCUCUGGAGGCUCUCUUAGUACAGGGCAUGACCUGCCCGACCUGUUUCCUCCACACAUACCUUAGGGUCAUGUGCAUGCCCAGUAAAUAUCUGUGACCAAAGUGGGUCUGGGACACUGGCCUCAGUUUGAGAAUAGGAAGUAGUCUCUUACCUUGACUCAUCUGACCCCUCUGCUCUCUGUCCCUUUGCAGAACUGUCAGAGCCUAGACCAGUAGUUGCCAUAGCAACAACAGAGCCCAAGAGAGGGUACCAGUCAGGGCAUCCCUGAUUCUCAAGAGACCAGGUGCUUUUUCUGGACAGCAAAGAGGGGAAACAGCUGUGACAGCUGCCUUACAAUGAGCUCCCUGGGAGGCAUACACCCCUUCAUUCCAUCACUCAUCCAAUCAUGUAUUCUCUCCUUCACAAAACAUUUAUUGAGUGGCUAUCACUAUGCCAGAUGCUAAGAAAACAGAAUUCAAGUGAAACACUGUUCCUGCCUUGAGGCAGGUUCCAGUCUAGAGGGAAGCAGAAGGGAAGGCAGGGAGGGCAGGAGGCAGGAGGGUAUGGGUCAGAGGGAAGCAGAGGAGUGCAGAGGUUAAGAGCAUGUCCUCUGGAGUCAGUUGCCUGCAUUCAAACCCAGGCUUUGCCCAUUACUGGCCAUGUGACAUCUGGGCAAGUUACUUCAUCUCUAAGCCUCAGUUUACUCAUAUGUAAAAUGGGGUAACUAGUGCUUACCUCAAAGACUCUGAGGUAUCUUUAGUACAUGUAAAUCACGUGGCAUGUAGCAAGCACUCAAUAACCAGUAGGUUUUCUGUUGUUCUGGCUCUACCCCAGGUUCUGUCCUCCACAUACCCAAAACCAGUUUCAGAUUAGAGCUUCCUCCAGGGCUCCCUCAGCAGAGCCCUAGCUAACUCUGAUUCCCCUGGCUUCCAGGCUAAGCAGCCCCACUGCCACUGCACCUGGGACUUCUGUGUGUACCUCAUCCCCUGCUGCCAGCAGAUUUUUCGGACAGUGUUCCAGCUGUCCGCCCACAAGGAAGUUGUGGAGGGUGUCAAACUGCAGUAACAAACCUCAGUGAUGGGGUGGCCUUCAUCUUCAACAGCAUCAUCAGCACCAAUGUGACAAGGGAUGAGGACCGAGCACGCUAAUGAAGAGGAAGGGGCUGCUUGGUAAAACAAAACUUGAAACAGCUGCUCCUCUACGCGGGCCUCUCGGUCUCCCUCAGGCGGAGGAAAGGAGGCUGGCUCUAGAGCGCACGUAGAAGGCCUCCUUGUGGCCAUUGUUAUGAAGUGCACCGGCCGAGAUCCCCCUCCGAGAGCUUCACCAAGGAAAAAAGAAAUUGGCAUUUUACGGGGCGCACGAUCAUAAAGAGAAGCGAAUCACAAACGUCCUCAAACCAGGCAUCCUAAAAAGCUUCAGUCUACAGUCUUGGACUCUCAGGUGCAGCUUCAAUGACUGCACUUCAAAGCUUGACGCGGCCAUCUGCCCUGCCUGUGGUCAUUUACACCACUGCCCACAAAUCCCGAGUCUCUGACCAGAAGAGCGUGGUGGCUCUAAGCAGGUGCUGCUGUCCUGGCCUAAGGAGGAGAAAGAGGUUGUUCUUGAUGGAAAUAGUUCUGAAGAAGCAGAAACCCCCCCUUCCCCCAAUAAAAUACACAAAGCCUC
Molecule: long non-coding RNA, 3529 nt
Organism: Phacochoerus africanus (Common warthog)
Lineage: Eukaryota; Metazoa; Chordata; Mammalia; Artiodactyla; Suidae
Exons: 4
Source: RefSeq, a predicted model, not a curated record